AAGCAAGGUGAGCCAAUUCAGCAAUACUUACCUUGGUUGAGGGAUAUCUAUGAUUACCCAACCUAUAACAACUGUCAAGAGGGAAGGUUUUGAGACUGAUCUGCACUUUAGUCAGAUAUGAUGGUUUCUUCUGAUGUAUAAACACAUGCAAGCAGGAAAAGGAUAAAUGUGCAUACAUCUUGUGCUCUGAUGCCAUGAUGGUCCUGCAGUGUCCAGGAACAAAUAUGGGAGUUGCAGAGAGAAAGCUGUGUUAUCUCUCUCUGCUAUACUGGAGAGAGAUAAGCCUCACAAACAUGUACAAGGCCCCAGCAGCUGAGAGAAGGUGUGAAGGAUAGGGAAGAGAAGACAGAAGGUCCUGGAGAGGACAGGGUCUUGCCUUUUCUCCCUGGUGCCCAGUGCUUCUACAGCAC
This is a long non-coding RNA of Pseudopipra pipra, 410 nucleotides long. RefSeq lists it as uncharacterized. Lineage: Eukaryota; Metazoa; Chordata; Aves; Passeriformes; Pipridae. The transcript is spliced from 3 exons. The record is from RefSeq and is a predicted model, not a curated record.